This 309-nucleotide ribosomal RNA is filed under the name uncultured bacterium. Its description in RNAcentral is "bacterial SSU rRNA". It matches the Rfam family "Bacterial small subunit ribosomal RNA", at positions 504 to 812 of the family's 1533-position model. The record is from RNAcentral.
CGUGCCAGCAGCCGCGGUAAUACGAAGGGGGCUAGCGUUGUUCGGAUUUACUGGGCGUAAAGCGCACGUAGGCGGACUAUUAAGUCAGGGGUGAAAUCCCGGGGCUCAACCCCGGAACUGCCUUUGAUACUGGUAGUCUUGAGUUCGAGAGAGGUGAGUGGAAUUCCGAGUGUAGAGGUGAAAUUCGUAGAUAUUCGGAGGAACACCAGUGGCGAAGGCGGCCAACUGGACCAUUACUGACGCUGAGGCGCGAAAGCGUGGGGAGCAAACAGGAUUAGAUACCCUGGUAGUCCACGCCGUAAACGAUGA